Long non-coding RNA from Phascolarctos cinereus (koala), 1460 nucleotides. RefSeq lists it as uncharacterized. The record is from RefSeq and is a predicted model, not a curated record. Lineage: Eukaryota; Metazoa; Chordata; Mammalia; Diprotodontia; Phascolarctidae.
GGGGCGGGGAGGGGCUGGGGCAUCUGCCAAUGGGAGAGCAGUGCCUGUGACCGACGGCGAGAGAAGCCCGGCUGGGAUUGCGAUACGGGGUGAGCCGGUCACAUGGGCUCCGGGAGAGAGGGGGUCUGAACGCCCGAGUUGGAGUAUCUAUGCAGACCCUCAUAAUAACAAAUAACUAGGAGGAUACGAGGGGCCCUUCUGACCUCAGGCAGAAAGACAGGAGAAACUAUCUGCUUUUCGAGGUCAGCCAAAAUCUCCCCGCCACCGGGCCCCUAGGGACUUCUUGGAGGUAGAAGGGAGUCAAGCUUCCCCCAUCAGACCAGGAACUUCCUGAAAGCUUGAAUUGCAUCUCUUCUCCUCUUCUGUAUCCUCUUUACAAUGCUCGGGACAAGGUUCUUUUUGAAGUGGGGAAGGGAGAAGAGAUAUUUUCCUCUCGAUAAAAUCAAUGUUCAGAGGUGGUCCAGGUUGCUCAGAGUUAGAAGAGGACCUGGAUGCCGGAAGAUUCCUCCCAAGAAUUUCCUGAGACCUGGAGAAAAUUCUCAUUCCUAGAAUGACUCAAGAGGCAGAGGAAUUAUCCUGAGAUCACCUGGAGACCUGCAGGCAACAGGAGAAGGGAAAAGAAGAUUAAUAUGAUAAGACCAUGUCUGCACUUGGCAAGUGAAGAGGCCUGGCAUGUACAUAGCUAUCUUGAGAAAGUGAAGGUGGAGGAAGAGAGCCUGUGGUAUAAUUCCCAGUCUCUGGGGAAAUUCUUCAUUUUAACCAUAUCGAAAGAGUCAAUCAAACCACAGCAGGGAUUUAUUGUGUGAGGUUUUUAUUAUCAACUUGAGGCUAGAACUCAAAAUCAGCUCCAUCUACAGGGAAAGGUUCCUGUUGUCACCAAGGGCAUGCAUCUUUGCAUCUUUUCUCCAGGCUCCAGUCUCAACACCUGCUGAUGUUCUUUAUAUAGGUACCUGAAGUAGAGUUGGUCUCUUCCAUCUUCCCUCUUGAAGCUGGCAUCCAGAAAUACUCAAAGUGACUCAAAGUUUGAAGAGAAUUUGAAAAAGUCUCAAGAUAGUGAAGCUUUCUCACUCUUACCAGCUCUGAUCUGCCUCUCAUGCAGACAACUAUGUCCAAACAACAUAUGGACAGGGUGAAUGGAGAUAGUCCCAGGGGGAAGGCAUUAAGAUUGAGGAGGACUGAAAAGAGUUUCUUAUAGAAGAUGGGCUUUUAGCUGAGACAUGAAAGAAGCAAGGGAAACCAGGAGGUAGAGAUGAGGAGAGAGAAUUCCACAGAAGUGUAAAAAAACUGUCCUUUGAUACUUUCCAUUACUGGAAGCAAAAAGACCACUUGACUCACUGGAUUUGAAGUCAAAAGACCUGGGUUAGAAUCCCAGCUUAGCUAUUUACUGUUAAUGUGACCUUAGGUAUGUAACCUGGGCAGCUAGGUGGCACAGUGGAUAGAGCACCAAGCCUGGAGUCAGG